This 492-nucleotide ribosomal RNA is filed under the name uncultured bacterium. RNAcentral's name for it is "partial 16S ribosomal RNA". It matches the Rfam family "Bacterial small subunit ribosomal RNA", at positions 29 to 507 of the family's 1533-position model. The record is from RNAcentral.
AGUGAACGCUGGCGGUAGGCCUAACACAUGCAAGUCGAACGGCAGCACAGUAAGAGCUUGCUCCUACGGGUGGCGAGUGGCGGACGGGUGAGGAAUACAUCGGAAUCUACUUUUUCGUGGGGGAUAACGUAGGGAAACUUACGCUAAUACCGCAUACGACCUACGGGUGAAAGCAGGGGAUCUUCGGACCUUGCGCGAUUGUAUGAGCCGAUGUCGGAUUAGCUAGUUGGCGGGGUAAAGGCCCACCAAGGCGACGAUCCGUAGCUGGUCUUAGAGGAUGAUCAGCCACACUGGAACUGAGACACGGUCCAGACUCCUACGGGAGGCAGCAGUGGGGAAUAUUGGACAAUGGGCGCAAGCCUGAUCCAGCCAUACCGCGUGGGUGAAGAAGGCCUUCGGGUUGUAAAGCCCUUUUGUUGGGAAAGAAAAGCAGCAGGUUAAUACCCCGCUGUUCUGACGGUACCCAAAGAAUAAGCACCGGCUAACUUCGUG